UAUUGCAACAUGAAUACAUAGUGUUGCAAGGCGAACGAGGGGAAGUGAAACAUCUCAGUACCCUUAGGAAAAGAAAUCAAUUGAGAUUCCCUCAGUAGCGGCGAGCGAACGGGGAUCAGCCCAUUAAGUUAUGUGUGUUUUAGUGGAACGCUCUGGGAAGUGCGAACGUAGAGGGUGAUAUUCCCGUACACGAAAGGGCACACAUAAUGAUGACGAGUAGGGCGAGGCACGUGAAACCUUGUCUGAAUAUGGGGGGACCAUCCUCCAAGGCUAAAUACUCCUGACUGACCGAUAGUGAACCAGUACCGUGAGGGAAAGGCGAAAAGAACCCCUGUGAGGGGAGUGAAAUAGAUCCUGAAACCGCAUGCAUACAAGCAGUGGGAGCACCUUCGUGGUGUGACUGCGUACCUUUUGUAUAAUGGGU
Molecule: ribosomal RNA, 424 nt
Filed under: Acinetobacter baumannii
Lineage: Bacteria; Pseudomonadati; Pseudomonadota; Gammaproteobacteria; Moraxellales; Moraxellaceae
Description: partial 23S ribosomal RNA
Rfam family: Bacterial large subunit ribosomal RNA
Source: RNAcentral